GGUAUUAUUUGCGCUAUCCUUGUUUUUUGGUUGAAUAUGUACCUGCAUGUUCGUUGGUUGAAUAGUACCUGCAUGUUCGUUGGUUAUGUACCAAGUGAUCUCAGAUGGUACACAAGUUUAUGAUUUCUGACAACCAAUUUGGUAAGAUGUAGAUCUGGAUUAUAUUUUCCCCAUUGAACAAUUUUCCAAUCCAGGAAAACAGUUAAGUUGAUAUACCCACGGGAAUAUGGUGUCGAUGGAAUAAUAACAAUCCAAGCUCAUAUUUCAGUUGACACCGAUUGAAGUAUAUAGCUCAGUUCGUGUUGCUCGAGACAUUGUUGUUGCUGUGUUGUUCCGAAGCUUUGCUUUUAAUGAUAUAUGGGAAAACUUCUGAAAACUAAUGGGAGUUGCAUGUCUACUCAUUGAAAAAUGCGAAACUCAUUCUCGGUCAUCAUUCUUUAUCGAAUAUGCUUUAAUAAUUUAACACUUUUGUCAAUUCCUAAACAUUCUAUUGCACAUGCCAUAUUGCCAGUGCAUCCGGAUGCUUCACAUUGGACAGUUGCACUUUAACUUCACAAAGGUCAUUGAAUUCGUUUAGUCUGUGGAUAAGAAGGUUCUUGGGAUCUUUAGAUGUCAUUAGCAAUAGUUUUGAUACCUAUCUCCUAUCUCUAGAUAAAUGCUAUACUUGUCGCUUGGUCCAUUAGUUUGAAUGAAUGGAUAUGCAAUAUUGCUGGUUAGCUGCUCUUUUCUGACUGAACUUGGUGGU
RNAcentral lists this long non-coding RNA (745 nucleotides) under Setaria italica (foxtail millet). Its description in RNAcentral is "long non-coding RNA (SITA_LNC003245)". Lineage: Eukaryota; Viridiplantae; Streptophyta; Magnoliopsida; Poales; Poaceae. The record is from RNAcentral.